RNAcentral lists this ribosomal RNA (497 nucleotides) under uncultured bacterium. RNAcentral's name for it is "partial 16S ribosomal RNA". It matches the Rfam family "Bacterial small subunit ribosomal RNA", at positions 28 to 507 of the family's 1533-position model. The record is from RNAcentral.
GAUGAACGCUGGCGGCGUGCCUAAUACAUGCAAGUCGAGCGAACGGACGAGAAGCUUGCUUUUCUGAUGUUAGCGGCGGACGGGUGAGUAACACGUGGAUAACCUACCUAUAAUACUGGGAUAACUUCGGGAAACCGGAGCUAAUACCGGAUAAUAUUUUGAACCGCAUGGUUCAAAAGUGAAAGACGGUCUUGCUGUCACUUAUAGAUGUAUCCGCGCUGCAUUAGCUAGUUGGUAAGGUAACGGCUUACCAAGGCAACGAUGCAUAUCCGACCUGAGAGGGUGAUCGGACAAACUGGAACUGAGACACGGACCAGACUCCUACGGGAGGCAGCAGUAGGGAAUCUUCCGAAAUGGGCGAAAGCCUGACGGAGCAACGCCGCGUGAGUGAUGAAGGUCUUCGGAUCGUAAAACUCUGUUAUUAGGGAAGAACAUAUGUGUAAGUAACUGUGCACAUAUUGACGGUACCUAAUCAGAAAGCCACGGCUAACUACGUG